Molecule: ribosomal RNA, 494 nt
Filed under: uncultured bacterium
Lineage: Bacteria
Description: partial 16S ribosomal RNA
Rfam family: Bacterial small subunit ribosomal RNA
Source: RNAcentral
GACGAACGCUGGCGGCGUGCUUAACACAUGCAAGUCGAACGGUGAAGCGCCUUCCUUUUUGGUGGGUGUGGAUGAGUGGCGAACGGGUGAGUAACACGUGAGUAACCUGCCCCCUUCUUCUGGAUAACCGCAUGAAAGUGUGGCUAAUACGGGAUAUUCUGGGUCUGUCGCAUGAUGGGUCUGGGAAAGAUAUUGUUUCGGUAGGGGAUGGGCUCGCGGCCUAUCAGCUUGUUGGUGGGGUGAUGGCCUACCAAGGCGGUGACGGGUAGCCGGCCUGAGAGGGUGGACGGUCACACUGGGACUGAGACACGGCCCAGACUCCUACGGGAGGCAGCAGUGGGGAAUAUUGCACAAUGGGCGCAAGCCUGAUGCAGCGACGCCGCGUGAGGGAUGGAGGCCUGCGGGUUGUGAACCUCUUUCGCCAGUGAAGCAGGCCUGCCUCGUUUGUGGGUGGGUUGACGGUAGCUGGAUAAGAAGCGCCGGCUAACUACGUG